This 498-nucleotide ribosomal RNA is filed under the name uncultured Glomeromycotina. RNAcentral describes it as "partial small subunit ribosomal RNA". It matches the Rfam family "Eukaryotic small subunit ribosomal RNA", at positions 591 to 1092 of the family's 1831-position model. Lineage: Eukaryota; Fungi; Glomeromycota. The record is from RNAcentral.
CCAAUAGCGUAUAUUAAAGUUGUUGCAGCUAAAAAGCUCGUAGUUGAAUUUCGGGGUUAGUAAGUUGGUCGUGCCUAUGGUAUGUACUGGCUUUACUGAUUCCUCCUUCUUGAAGAACUGUAAUGUCAUUAAUUUGGUGUUGCAGGGAAACAAGACUGUUACUUUGAAAAAAUUAGAGUGUUUAAAGCAGGCUAACGCUUGAAUACAUUAGCAUGGAAUAAUGAAAUAGGACGUUUGAUCCUAUUUUGUUGGUUUCUAGGAUUGACGUAAUGAUUAAUAGGGAUAGUUGGGGGCAUUAGUAUUCAAUUGUCAGAGGUGAAAUUCUUGGAUUUAUUGAAGACUAACUACUGCGAAAGCAUUUGCCAAGGAUGUUUUCAUUAAUCAAGAACGAAAGUUAGGGGAUCGAAGACGAUCAGAUACCGUCGUAGUCUUAACCAUAAACUAUGCCGACUAGGGAUCGGAUGAUGUUAUUUUUAAUGACUCAUUCGGCGCCUUACG